AACGUAGGUCCCGAGCGUUAUCCGGAUUUACUGGGCGUAAAGCGUGUUCAGGCGGUCUAGCAAGUCGGGCAUGAAAUCUCUCGGCUCAACCGGGAGGGGUUGUCCGAUACUGCUGGGCUUGAGGGCAGCAGAGGGUGGUGGAAUUCCGGGUGUAGUGGUGAAAUGCGUAGAUAUCAGGAGGAACACCAAUGGCGAAGGCAGCUCACUGGGACGAUACUGACGCUGAGACGCGAAAGCGUGGGGAGCAAACAGG
RNAcentral lists this ribosomal RNA (253 nucleotides) under uncultured bacterium. RNAcentral's name for it is "partial 16S ribosomal RNA". It matches the Rfam family "Bacterial small subunit ribosomal RNA", at positions 524 to 776 of the family's 1533-position model. The record is from RNAcentral.